RNAcentral lists this ribosomal RNA (406 nucleotides) under uncultured bacterium. RNAcentral describes it as "partial 16S ribosomal RNA". It matches the Rfam family "Bacterial small subunit ribosomal RNA", at positions 30 to 526 of the family's 1533-position model. The record is from RNAcentral.
AUUGAACGCUGGCGGUAGGCUUAACACAUGCAAGUCGAGCGAGCGGCGGACGGGUGAGUAAUGUCUGGGAAACUGCCUGAUGGAGGGGGAUAACUACUGGAAACGGUAGCUAAUACCGCAUACCAUCAGAUGUGCCCAGAUGGGAUUAGCUAGUAGGUGGGGUAAUGGCUCACCUAGGCGACGAUCCCUAGCUGGUCUGAGAGGAUGACCAGCCAAACUGGAACUGAGACACGGCACAGACUCAUACGGGAGGCAGCAGUGGGGAAUAUUGCACAAUGGGCGCAAGCCUGAUGCAGCCAUGCCGGGUGUGUGAAGAAGGCAUUGGGGUUGUAAAGCACUUUCAGCGAGGAGGCGUUACUCGAAGAAGAAGCACCGGCUAACUCCGUGCCAGCGGCCGCGGUAAUAC